CAAUUAGGUGAACCUGCGGAAGGAUCAUUACCGAGUUCAUGC
This 42-nucleotide ribosomal RNA is filed under the name Tetracladium sp. EF-12. Its description in RNAcentral is "partial 18S ribosomal RNA". Lineage: Eukaryota; Fungi; Ascomycota; Leotiomycetes; Helotiales. The record is from RNAcentral.